GGAUGACCAGGUUGAGGGCUUUUGCAAGCUCUGGUGCAUGGCCUUCUGGAGGCAACAGACCAGCACCACGGCAGCGGAAGUGGUAUGACCUCUACCAGAAGAUUGAGAAAUGCCCCCUGCAAGCUCAUGGACAGACCACCCUCUUUGGUGGGUCCAAGGCAUGCAGUUGUGGAUUCCACACCACCAAGCCUGCCACUGCUACUUUAUCACAGGCCACUGCUGCACCUCCACAAUCUGAGGCUUCAGACACGGCUCCUGCCCCACGGUCAUUCCUGAGGCCCUCUUCUACUUUAUCAAUG
This is a long non-coding RNA of Puntigrus tetrazona (Sumatra barb), 299 nucleotides long. RefSeq lists it as uncharacterized. NCBI's taxonomy places the organism in Eukaryota, Metazoa, Chordata, Actinopteri, Cypriniformes, Cyprinidae. The record is from RefSeq and is a predicted model, not a curated record. The transcript is spliced from 3 exons.